GAUGAACGCUGGCGGCGUGCCUAAUACAUGCAAGUCGAGCGAACGGACGAGAAGCUUGCUUUUCUGAUGUUAGCGGCGGACGGGUGAGUAACACGUGGAUAACCUACCUAUAAGACUGGGAUAACUUCGGGAAACCGGAGCUAAUACCGGAUAAUAUUUUGAACCGCAUGGUUCAAAAGUGAAAGACGGUCUUGCUGUCACUUAUAGAUGGAUCCGCGCUGCAUUGGCUAGUUGGUAAGGUAGCGGCUUACCAAGGCAACGAUGCAUAGCCGACCUGAGAGGGUGAUCGGCCACACUGGAACUGAGACACGGUCCAGACUCCUACGGGAGGCAGCAGUAGGGAAUCUUCCGCAAUGGGCGAAAGCCUGACGGAGCAACGCCGCGUGAGUGAUGAAGGUCUUCGGAUCGUAAAACUCUGUUAUUAGGGAAGAACAUAUGUGUAAGUAACUGUGCACAUCUUGACGGUACCUAAUCAGAAAGCCACGGCUAACUAUGUG
RNAcentral lists this ribosomal RNA (497 nucleotides) under uncultured bacterium. RNAcentral's name for it is "partial 16S ribosomal RNA". It matches the Rfam family "Bacterial small subunit ribosomal RNA", at positions 28 to 507 of the family's 1533-position model. The record is from RNAcentral.